AAUCAACGCUGGCGGCGUGCCUCAGACAUGCAAGUCGAACGCGAAAGGCUCCUUCGGGGGCCGAGUAGAGUGGCGCACGGGUGAGUAACACGUAGGUAAUUUGCCUUUGGGUGGGGAAUAACUCAGGGAAACUUGAGCUAAUACCGCAUAAUGCAGCGGCUCGACAUCGAGACAGUUGUUAAAGCGGGGGAUCGCAAGACCUCGCGCCUGAAGAGAAGCCUGCGGCAGAUUAGCUAGUUGGUAGGGUAAUGGCCUACCAAGGCGACGAUCUGUAACCGGCCUGAGAGGGCGGUCGGUCACACUGACACUGACAUACGGGUCAGACUCCUACGGGAGGCAGCAGUCGGGAAUUUUGGGCAAUGGGCGCAAGCCU
This 373-nucleotide ribosomal RNA is filed under the name uncultured bacterium. Its description in RNAcentral is "bacterial SSU rRNA". It matches the Rfam family "Bacterial small subunit ribosomal RNA", at positions 32 to 384 of the family's 1533-position model. The record is from RNAcentral.